GUAACGGUGUCUUUAGACACCACAAUAAAUCUUCGAAAUUGUGUGU
Picea glauca (white spruce) is the source of this 46-nucleotide non-coding RNA. The record is from Rfam. Lineage: Eukaryota; Viridiplantae; Streptophyta; Pinopsida; Pinales; Pinaceae.